Molecule: ribosomal RNA, 301 nt
Filed under: uncultured bacterium
Lineage: Bacteria
Description: partial 16S ribosomal RNA
Rfam family: Bacterial small subunit ribosomal RNA
Source: RNAcentral
CAGUCGCCGCGGUAAUACGGAGGGUGCGAGCGUUAUCCGGAUUUACUGGGUUUAAAGGGUGCGCAGGCGGCUUUUUAAGUCGGAUGUGAAAUCCCUGAGCUUAACUUAGGAAUUGCAUUCGAUACUGGGAAGCUAGAGUAUGGGAGAGGAUGGUAGAAUUCCAGGUGUAGCGGUGAAAUGCGUAGAGAUCUGGAGGAAUACCGAUGGCGAAGGCAGCCAUCUGGCCUAAUACUGACGCUGAGGUGCGAAAGCGUGGGGAGCAAACAGGAUUAGAUACCCCAGUAGUCCCUGUCUCUUAUAC